GUGGGGAAUCUUGCGCAAUGGGCGAAAGCCUGACGCAGCCAUGCCGCGUGAAUGAUGAAGGUCUUAGGAUUGUAAAAUUCUUUCACCGGGGACGAUAAUGACGGUACCCGGAGAAGAAGCUCCGGCUAACUUCGUGCCAGCAGCCGCGGUAAUACGAAGGGGGCUAGCGUUGCUCGGAAUUGCUGGGCGUAAAGGGCGCGUAGGCGGACAGCUUAGUCAGAGGUGAAAGCCCAGGGCUCAACCUUGGAAUUGCCUUUGAUACUGGCUGUCUUGAGUUUGGGAGAGGUGAGUGGAACUCCGGGUGUAGAGGUGAAAUUCGUAGAUAUUCGGAAGAACACCAGUGGCGAAGGCGACUCACUGGCCCAAUACUGACGCUGAGGCGCGAAAGCGUGGGGAGCAAACAGGAUUAGAUACCCCUGUAGUCC
This 425-nucleotide ribosomal RNA is filed under the name uncultured bacterium. RNAcentral's name for it is "partial 16S ribosomal RNA". It matches the Rfam family "Bacterial small subunit ribosomal RNA", at positions 354 to 796 of the family's 1533-position model. The record is from RNAcentral.